Molecule: long non-coding RNA, 1783 nt
Filed under: Eucalyptus grandis
Lineage: Eukaryota; Viridiplantae; Streptophyta; Magnoliopsida; Myrtales; Myrtaceae
Description: long non-coding RNA (EGRA_LNC006531)
Source: RNAcentral
AGGACAUUUGUUUCAUUUCCAACCAUGGCGACCAAAUACGCCAUUACACUGCUAUGAGUUCUCCCACUGUGCCUUCUGGAUGCAUGUCAUAGGAUUACCUUUGGAGUGGAACACAGAACACAUUCUGCGUAAAGCAGUUAAGCAGGUAGGUCGUGUAAUCGAAGUUAAACCAGAUACUUCUGGGAGGGUCCGCAUACAACUUGAUUUGAAAGAACCUUUAAGGACGGGGAAGCUAAUUAGUAUCGAAGGAAAGACAUUAUGGUUAGAUUUUCGCUAUGAGCGACUCUCACAUUUCUGCUAUUCGUGCGGGAAACUAGGACACUAUGCAACAGCUUGUAAAGAAUAUCCUUAUGAGGAAGACACACAUGAUGGUUUAUCGAAACUCGCCUAUGGCCACUGGUUACGUGCGGAGGUUCGACAACAUAGCCCGUAUUGGGACACGUUCUAUAAUCCUCAGGAAUCUAUGGAGCAGAUGGAUGAAGCUGUACCUGAAACUCCCCCUGCCAUGCAAAUGCCAAUCCUAGCACUGCCUCCCAUUGUGCCAGAUUCAGCAGCUCAAGCAACGACCCCCAUCAUCCCCUCAAGAUCCUCCUCUAUGAUGGAAAUAGCCAAUCCCGCUCCAAGGACUACUGACCUGGUACCUGCAAUGGCAAAAGAGUGUUCAGACUCCUUCCCUGGAGAUUCCCAAGAAAAAAAAGCCAACAAUUCUGAAAACGAAUAAUGCUACGGGAUCAGGCAAGAAACAAAAGAGAUACUCUCCGUAUGAUAAUAGAGUUGGCUACUCAUCAGAUCUGGAUGAGACUCAACUUAUGGACACCCCUGUUUAUGCUGUAAAUGAGACAACACAGUGGGCAUUGGCGACUGGCCCCAAACAGCCACCGCAUCUCAAAUGAAGCUCCUAUGUUGGAACUGUCAGGGGUUGGGCAACCCACUGACAGUUCAAGCCCUAAAGGCCGUUUUGGCCAAAGAAAAGCCUGAUCUAGUUUUCUUAAUGGAAACUAAGAAUGUAGCUUCAGUUUUAAGUAGAUUACAGCGUCGGUUUCAUUUUCCUCACUCCUUGAUAAGGGAUCCAGUGGGCCUGGCUAGUGGUCUAGCUAUUUUUUGGACUGAGCUUUAUGCUUUAACUAUUUUGAAGUCAGCGGAGACUUAUUUUGAUCUGCUUUGCUAUGAUAUUUCUGCAGCUACUUCUAUGCAUAUCACAUGUUUGCACGCUCCUUCUACUUAUAGGGCUAGACAAGAGCUUUGGGAUAGACUCAGGGAGAUCAGUGCUGUAAAUACCUUUCCUUGGGUGUGUGUGGGGGACUUUAAUGAAAUUCUCUACCCUUGGGAAAAAGUGGGUAAGAGACCAGCUAUAUCCUCUUGCCUAGCAUCCUUUCGAGCAGUGAUUAGUGCUUGCUCUUUAUUAGAGUUGGAAAGCAAAGGGUGUGAAUUUACCUGGUCUAAUAACAGAACAGGGGCUGACCUGGUAAAGGAGAGAUUGGAUCGAGUCUUUUGCUCUUUGGAAGGGUGAUUGUUGUAUCCUACUGCAGAAGUGUUAGCCCUUCCUGCUUUAGGUUCGGAUCACUGCCCUCUUUUGCUCACCACAUCUACAAGUCCUGUCAAGCGAAAGAAGACUUUUACUUAUGAAGCUUUCUGGAACCAAGAUCAACAGUGCAAAGAAAUAAUUCAACAUUCGUGGAAUAUCUCCCGAGCAGACAAAACCUCUCUGGCGGCAAAAUUGCAGACAGUUUCUCAUGAAUUAGCAAGGUGGAGUAAAUCAAAGUUCAGUAACGGUCAUCUUCGU